UGGGGUUAUGAAAUUUGUUUUUUUGUUCUCUACAAUGAGCUGAUCUAGGAAGACCUAGUUAAGGAAAUAGAUGGAGGAAGAAUUAGACCUAGCUAGGUUAACAUGAUGGUAAAUAGUGUGAUAAAGACAGGUUGUUGAAGCUCUCGUUUGAAGGAAAUCUGAUUGGCAGCAAUGGCUGCUACGUAUUUUAACUAGCUAACAAGUCUAUGGAGUACCCUAGUCCCCUCAAAUUCUCUUUCGGUCUAAAAAGAAGAAAUUGAUGAUCUUGAAAGAGAUAAGAUGCAUCUUCAUCAAGGUUGACUAUCUGAGAAUUGAC
RNAcentral lists this long non-coding RNA (316 nucleotides) under Vigna radiata. Its description in RNAcentral is "long non-coding RNA (VRAD_LNC009464)". The record is from RNAcentral. Lineage: Eukaryota; Viridiplantae; Streptophyta; Magnoliopsida; Fabales; Fabaceae.